This 464-nucleotide ribosomal RNA is filed under the name uncultured bacterium. Its description in RNAcentral is "partial 16S ribosomal RNA". It matches the Rfam family "Bacterial small subunit ribosomal RNA", at positions 355 to 810 of the family's 1533-position model. The record is from RNAcentral.
UGGGGAAUUUUGACAAUGGGCGAAAGCCUGAUCCAGCAAUGCCGCGUGUGUGAAGAAGGCCUUCGGGUUGUAAAGCACUUUUGUCCGGAAAGAAAUCCUUGGCUCUAAUACAGUCGGGGGAUGACGGUACCGGAAGAAUAAGCACCGGCUAACUACGUGCCAGCAGCCGCGGUAAUACGUAGGGUGCAAGCGUUAAUCGGAAUUACUGGGCGUAAAGCGUGCGCAGGCGGUUUGCUAAGACCGAUGUGAAAUCCCCGGGCUCAACCUGGGAACUGCAUUGGUGACUGGCAGGCUAGAGUAUGGCAGAGGGGGGUAGAAUUCCACGUGUAGCAGUGAAAUGCGUAGAGAUGUGGAGGAAUACCGAUGGCGAAGGCAGCCCCCUGGGCCAAUACUGACGCUCAUGCACGAAAGCGUGGGGGAGCAAACAGGAUUCAGAUACCCUGGUAGUCCACGCCCUAAACGAU